AGGAGUCUCAGAGAAAGCUGCUAACUAUCUCAUAGCAAUUACAUUGUUAGACCCC
Molecule: transfer RNA, 55 nt
Filed under: Paracarsidara gigantea
Lineage: Eukaryota; Metazoa; Arthropoda; Insecta; Hemiptera; Carsidaridae
Description: tRNA-Ser
Source: RNAcentral